AUAGUAUAAAGCCAAAAAAAAAGUGUAAAAUCACUGCUCACUGGGAAGCUGAUUUUUUUAUGUAAAUGACGCGUUUCGCUGUUGCUCCUUCAGGUUCAAUCUUCAACUUCACAUGACACCGACAGAUGGAAUAGAUGAUUACAGGGACACAUGACCUCACCAAUUUCUGUAAGAUACCACCAAAUUGUGUGCGGUGAUUUUACACUUUUUUUGGCUUCAUAACCUUUAACAAGUAUUUUGGUAACAUUUACUAUUUCCCUCAAUUAUCUUCCGUCUUUUUCUGGGAGUGUUUAUGUGAACAGGGUAGCAAUGUCCCCCAAACCAAACAAUUAGCAAAGAAUGGCUAAGCCCCGGAUUGUGCUUGUGUUGCUAAUGAAGGGGUUGUUUCCUGGAGGAAAUCGUGGCCUGGAUGUGGCCCCCCGAGCCCUGACGUCAUCUGACGCUAAUCCUUCCUGUUUUUCAAACAGGAGUCGGACGCCUCUGUGGGUUUGUGUUCAUGCACAGGCUGCUCUCCUUGUGACCCGUCGGAAUGAAGUGUUUUCCUCCGCCGCUGAACCGAUGUCGACCUACAUGUGACGGGUAAAACCGAAUCCGAGGACUUCUCCCAGCCCUGUGUGUGUGUGUGUGUGUGUGUGUGUGUGUGUGUGUGUGUGUGUGUGUGUGUGUGUGUGUGUGUGUGUGUGUGUGUGUGUGUGUGUGUGUGUGUGUGUGUGUGUGCGUAAGGACACUCUGCAGUUAAAAGUCACUGGAGCCGAACCUGCGCCCCACCCCCGCCCGGCCUCCACCCUUGUGUUUAUCUGUCCCCUCCUGUGAGAGGUCAAAGGUGAGACGUCUCCCAGAGGGGAAGCUUACACUCUGGUGCGCGCGUCCCUCCCUCCCGAAGCGCCUGUGUCUGGCGUGUUCCUAAGCAGGUGGUCGAUGACAGACGGUCCCGGGAGACGACGGUCCCGACGGUCCCGCCGCCGCCUCGCUCCGUGGCGAUCGGAGUCACGCGAGGCGCGGCAUUCCAUGCCUCUCAUCUCAGCGCUCCUGACAGAACGGCAUUCCAGGAAGUGCCAAGGGGAGCCGGCAGUGAUCCGCAGCCGUGAUGAGUUGUAAUGAGUCCAAGGUAGUGGAGGAUGUAUCACGCUAAACCCAGAACACACCAAACGGGACUGUCCGGAUCAGAGAUGGAGUGACACGCAACGGAACUAUCAUCUCCCUGCUCCGCACGCACACCUGGCCCAUGCACGCACACCUGGCCCAAUGCACGUACACCUGGCCCAUGCACGCACACCUGGCCCAAUGCACGCACACAUGCACCGAGGAAAGCACACAUGCAGAGGAACACAUCUUGAUAAAACCAAGAAUGUGAUGUGGAAGUCCCCUGUUCUGCAAUGUCUUUUUAUUCCUUGAAUAUUCCUUUCUUUCUCUCUUCCUCUGUCCAAUGACUUCGGACCAUUAGUGAAUGGGUUCAAUCAAAACAAUUUUUAUCCUGAAAAAUAAUUGGAGUAUAAAUCAGUAACCCUAACAGUGUAUGUUGCCAAAUAUAUUAUCAAAUUGAGAUGAUCAUGUAACUACUUAUUAUUUAAAUGAUGCACACUAAGACGAUUUCCAAUUCAAUGAUGCGCCCAUAAAUACUUUAAAUAAAUGCAAAACGAUUUUAAAUAUUUUGUUUGAUUGACAUACGAGGUUGUCUAGUAUUUAAUUGAGGCAGGCCUAACCCUAAAAGGCUUCAACGCUCAAUUGUACUAAAGAACGAUUUUGCAAGUAUAUGCUUCCACCAUCGAUGAACAUGUAGUGCCUUCUGAGCUCUCUAGUGACAUCGUAUAGGGAUCGGACGUCACCUCUUUGCCAAGAUUUUAAUUUUUCCGCUGACUGUGGGCCUGUGAAGCCCUUUCGGACUGAAAUUGUGAUAAGGGACUAUAAAUCUAAACCCCACCUGAUUUCAGUCCAAGCGAGUCGAGAAGUUGGCCUUUGAAAAAUUAUUUGUAAAAGUGUUCCCCGUCUGUCCUCCUACGGCAAACAAUUGGCAGACCCUCAGUAGUGGAGAGGAUUGUGUGUGUGUGUGUGUGGGUGUGCAUGUGCCUGCAGGUGUGAGUGUGCGGGCGUGUGUGUGUGUGUGUGUGUGUGCGUGUUUCUGUGGGUGUGCUUGUCUGCGUGCGUGUGCGUACGUGUGUGUGUGUGUGUGUGUGUGUGUGUGUGUGUGUGUGUGCGUUUGGUAAAAGGAGCUGCUCGGGAGGUUAUUGUCGCAGCCUUAGUAUCGCGUGCGCUGGCCCAGCCCAGACAACCCUGCCCUUCUCACGAACAGCUUGCACAACGGAGGGGAGGACUGGCUCAAGAGGGGAAGUAUCUCAUGGAGAAUCUGUCUCACAGCAGUUUGCACACAGACACUGAUGAAUGUCCUACUUGGAUCUGUUACACACCAUUGAUAUGUCAUGCCAUCUCUCGGCCAUCAAGAUUCGGGGGGGGGGGGGGGGAAAUAUCUUGUGAAAGCUCUCCUUCUGUGGGAGCUGGCACAGAGUGUAGGGAUCCUGCCCUGUGUUGUGAGUGUAAUGUUUGUCCCCUGAAUACAUUUGUCCUUCUGUAAACCUGUGCGCCACUGUCUGAGUACCUCAGCACCUGCCCCAGUUUGUCUUAAUGCAGCCAGCAGAGAUUGUGCCAUUGUUACAGCCAUUUCGCUUCUUUUUACUUUUAGCCAAAUUGAUAUUCUUGUUUUGAAGUAUGAAAAGUGUUGAUGUUGAAAUGAUUUGUUUUUUGUAUAAUAUUUCGUGUUUGUAGACGUCAUGGCUGACGUCACAGGCAAAGGUCAUAAAGUAAAGGGGUCAGCCAAAUGUUUGGGUUGGCCGAUGGAUGAGGGUAGCGUGGUUAAUCACUCUGUUUUGACCACUACUGUCGAUAUAAUUGAUUGUUUGAUACGCUUUUCGUCAAGAUUAUAUUGUCUACCUAAUUUACAAAUGCAUCGGAUUCGUUUUUUGUUACUGGAAAAGAUCGAAUAAAUCAUUUUUUAUCAAGA
Gadus macrocephalus (Pacific cod) is the source of this 2995-nucleotide long non-coding RNA. RefSeq lists it as uncharacterized. The transcript is spliced from 2 exons. The record is from RefSeq and is a predicted model, not a curated record. NCBI's taxonomy places the organism in Eukaryota, Metazoa, Chordata, Actinopteri, Gadiformes, Gadidae.